This 498-nucleotide ribosomal RNA is filed under the name uncultured bacterium. Its description in RNAcentral is "partial 16S ribosomal RNA". It matches the Rfam family "Bacterial small subunit ribosomal RNA", at positions 30 to 523 of the family's 1533-position model. The record is from RNAcentral.
AUUGAACGCUGGCGGCAUGCCUUACACAUGCAAGUCGAACGGUAACAGGUCUUCGGAUGCUGACGAGUGGCGAACGGGUGAGUAAUACAUCGGAACGUGCCUAGUAGUGGGGGAUAACUACUCGAAAGAGUGGCUAAUACCGCAUGAGAUCUACGGAUGAAAGCAGGGGAUCGCGAGACCUUGUGCUACUAGAGCGGCCGAUGGCAGAUUAGGUAGUUGGUGGGAUAAAAGCUUACCAAGCCGACGAUCUGUAGCUGGUCUGAGGGGACGAUCAGCCACACUGGGACUGAGACACGGCCCAGACUCCUACGGGAGGCAGCAGUGGGGAAUUGUGGACAAUGGGCGCAAGCCUGAUCCAGCAAUGCCGCGUGCAGGAUGAAGGCCUUCGGGUUGUAAACUGCUUUUGUACGGAACGAAAAGCCCCGGGUUAAUACCCUGGGGUCAUGACGGUACCGUAAGAAUAAGCACCGGCUAACUACGUGCCAGCCGCCGCAGUAA